Molecule: ribosomal RNA, 819 nt
Filed under: uncultured Acidovorax sp.
Lineage: Bacteria; Pseudomonadati; Pseudomonadota; Betaproteobacteria; Burkholderiales; Comamonadaceae
Description: bacterial SSU rRNA
Rfam family: Bacterial small subunit ribosomal RNA
Source: RNAcentral
AGAGUUUGAUCAUGGCUCAGAUUGAACGCUGGCGGCAUGCCUUACACAUGCAAGUCGAACGGUAACAGGUCUUCGGAUGCUGACGAGUGGCGAACGGGUGAGUAAUACAUCGGAACGUGCCCGAUCGUGGGGGAUAACGAGGCGAAAGCUUUGCUAAUACCGCAUACGAUCUACGGAUGAAAGCGGGGGAUCUUCGGACCUCGCGCGGACGGAGCGGCCGAUGGCAGAUUAGGUAGUUGGUGGGAUAAAAGCUUACCAAGCCGACGAUCUGUAGCUGGUCGGAGAGGAUGAUCAGCCACACUGGGACUGAGACACGGCCCAGACUCCUACGGGAGGCAGCAGUGGGGAAUUUUGGACAAUGGGCGAAAGCCUGAUCCAGCCAUGCCGCGUGCAGGAUGAAGGCCUUCGGGUUGUAAACUGCUUUUGUACGGAACGAAAAGCCUCUUUCUAAUAAAGAGGGGUCAUGACGGUACCGUAAGAAUAAGCACCGGCUAACUACGUGCCANCAGCCGCGGGUAAUACGUAGGGUGCAAGCGUUAAUCGGAAUUACUGGGCGUAAAGCGUGCGCAGGCGGUUUUGUAAGACAGAGGUGAAAUCCCCGGGCUCAACCUGGGAACUGCCCUUUGUGACUGCAGGGCUGGANUGCGGCAGANGGGGAUGGAAUUCCGCGUGUAGCAGUGAAAUGCGUAAAUAUGCGGAGGAACACCGAUGGCGAAGGCAAUCCCCUGGGCCUGCNCUGACGCUCAUGCACGAAAGCGUGGGGAGCAAACAGGAAUUAGAUACCCUGGGUAGUCCACGCCCUAAAACNAUGUCAACUGG